CGAGCCCCUCCUUCUCCGACUUUAAGUGUGGAGGCGAAACCACCCUUUGCGGGCCGACCCGGGAACCCGGGACAGAAUCGACCUUCCUUACAGUGUUACCACCUACUAUCGGUGGUGCUACUAGGAGGGCAGUUUAAAAGGGGAAAUGUGUUGCGCUUAAUAACCUUGAAUCGAGGAACAGACCUUGAACAUAAUUACAAAGAGUUCAAGUAACUCGUCCAGUUAAUUCGAUGUAGAAUAUUUGGCUCCAGAGCCUGCUACUGUAGGUGCAUAUCUUUGUUUUCAAACAAUUUAAAUUUUAAUAAAAACUGUCCAAGGGGAUUUCUACAGAUAUGGAGCACAAACAUGAAUGGUAACCUAAAAAUGAUACGUGCUUAAUAAUUGUAUAUGGAACCUUUCUAGUUUUUCAGAUAACACCAAAGUUUGUAAAGCUUG
This 435-nucleotide long non-coding RNA is filed under the name Pan troglodytes (chimpanzee). Its description in RNAcentral is "long non-coding RNA NONPTRT012815". Lineage: Eukaryota; Metazoa; Chordata; Mammalia; Primates; Hominidae. The record is from RNAcentral.